CCCUUAGAUGUUCUGGGCCGCACGCGUGCUACACUGAGUAAAUCAAUGGGUAAGGGAACACGAAAGUGCAACCUAAUCUUGAAAUUUGCUCGUGAUGGGGAUCGACGGUUGCAAUUUUCCGUCGUGAACGAGGAAUACCUUGUAGGCGCGUGUCAUCAUCACGCGCCGAAUACGUCCCUGCCCUUUGUACACACCGCCCGUCGCUACUACUGAUUGGGUGUUCAAGUGAGAUGCUUAGACCCUUGUUGCAUGGUUCAUUAUUGUGCUCCGAAAGGAAAAAGUUUCAAGCUUGAGUGUCUAGAGGAAGUAAAAGUCGUAACA
RNAcentral lists this ribosomal RNA (321 nucleotides) under uncultured eukaryote. RNAcentral describes it as "partial 18S ribosomal RNA". It matches the Rfam family "Eukaryotic small subunit ribosomal RNA", at positions 1470 to 1796 of the family's 1831-position model. The record is from RNAcentral.